AGGACAAACGCUGGCGGCGUGCAUAAAACAUGCAAGUCGGACGAGCCAAUCCCCGCAAGGGGAAAGGCUAGUGGCGAACGGCUGAGUAACACGUAGGUGAUCUGCCCUGAAGUGGGGGAUAACGACUCGAAAGAGUCGCUAAUACCGCAUGUGACCACCGAUUCGUUUUCGGUGCUCAAAGUCGUAAGACGCUUUAGGAGGAGCCUGCGGCGGAUUAGCUAGUUGGUGAGUAAUGGCCCACCAAGGCUUCGAUCCGUAGCUGGUCUGAGAGGAUGACCAGCCAGACUGGGACUGAGACACGGCCCAGACUCCUACGGGAGCAGCAGUUAGGAAUUUGCGCAAUGGGGGAAACCUGACGCAGCACGCCGCGUGCGGAUGGAAGCCGUCGGGUCGUAAACCGCCUUCGUCGAGAAGACACCGACGUACUCGAGCAAUAAACAACGGACUAACUACGUAGCCAGACAGACGCGGU
Molecule: ribosomal RNA, 472 nt
Filed under: uncultured soil bacterium
Lineage: Bacteria
Description: bacterial SSU rRNA
Rfam family: Bacterial small subunit ribosomal RNA
Source: RNAcentral